ACGAACCGUGCAAACGUUAUUCGGAAUCACUGGGCUUAAAGCGUGCGUAGGCGGCUAAGAAAGUUGGGUGUGAAAUCCCUCGGCUCAACCGAGGAGUUGCGCUCAAAACUACUUAGCUUGAGGGAGUUAGAGGUGAGCGGAACUAAUGGUGGAGCGGUGAAAUGCGUUGAUAUCAUUAGGAACACCGGUGGCGAAGGCGGCCCGCUGGGCUGUGGCUGACGCUGAGGCGCGACAGCGUGGGGAGCAAACAGGA
Molecule: ribosomal RNA, 253 nt
Filed under: uncultured prokaryote
Description: partial 16S ribosomal RNA
Rfam family: Bacterial small subunit ribosomal RNA
Source: RNAcentral